AACAGAAUGCCUGAAUAAGAAAAAGCAAAAUAAACAUGAUGAAAUCAAUUCCAUUUCACCAUCCAAUUCAUGGAGGUGCAAACUACACCCUAAGCCAGCAACCUAAUGCGAACCAAAUCAGGACACCAAAACCAAACGCAUUAACAUACUACAGUCAUUGAGAGCAGGAGGCAAAUUCAGAGGAGCAACUACGUCAAAUUUUCAAGGAAUCAGAAUAAAAAAACUGAACGUUAUCCGUUUUAUUACUAAUUUCAGGGAAAAAAAGGAUGAAUAGAAAUCAUAAUUAAUUUUUUGACUCUUCAUGCUUCUAUUUGGUUUUGGUUCUUGACUUCACAAUUCUAGGAUUUUACAUUUUCAUCUGAAUUCUCGGCCUUUUUGAAUUUCCCAGCAACCAAACGGAACAAAAAAAAAAUGACUUAAGUCGGAAAACAAAAAAUAGAAUCGAAGCUUGUUUGAGUUUUUCUUUUGUUAUUUUCUGAUGGAUCGGUCACCUUGGAUUGACCUGGACGGAGAAAAGAGGCCGACGGUGAGAAUUCUGGAUGUGAGGCUUCGAAAGAAUGUAUAGUCGAUCUGAGGAGAGAAGAGGACGCCAUUUCCGAGAUACGAGCUCUUCUCCGCAGAUACUGCUCGAUCGAAUGAUAUUUCAAUAGUGAAACCCUAGAGAGAGAAACUGAGAAGGCUUUGGUUUAUCCUAUGCACCAACUCACAAUGGGCGGAGAUUCUUACGAAUUUCUCUCUCUCGUUCUGUCUCUCCUAGAGUCGGUUUCUUUCUGUAAAAGGAUCCUACUCCUACCAGAAAAUAAAAGUCGUUCGGCUCUCUUUCUAGGAGUCUCACGUAGGUGAGCUUGUCGCCUUAUGCAUAUCUGAGCUGGCCCCCGAAUGCCACGUCAUAUUUGUGUGUAAACGUAGCAUUAUU
This 916-nucleotide long non-coding RNA is filed under the name Actinidia chinensis (golden kiwifruit). RNAcentral describes it as "long non-coding RNA (ACHI_LNC002357)". The record is from RNAcentral. Lineage: Eukaryota; Viridiplantae; Streptophyta; Magnoliopsida; Ericales; Actinidiaceae.